This 254-nucleotide ribosomal RNA is filed under the name uncultured bacterium. RNAcentral's name for it is "partial 16S ribosomal RNA". It matches the Rfam family "Bacterial small subunit ribosomal RNA", at positions 524 to 776 of the family's 1533-position model. The record is from RNAcentral.
UACGUAGGGGGCGAGCGUUGUCCGGAUUUAUUGGGCGUAAAGAGCUCGUAGGCGGUUCGGCAAGUCACGUGUGAAAUCUCCACGCUUAACGUGGAGGCGCCACGUGAAACUGCCGUGACUCGAGUCCGGUAGGGGAGUGUGGAAUUCCCGGUGUAGCGGUGAAAUGCGCAGAUAUCGGGAGGAACACCAGUAGCGAAGGCGGCACUCUGGGCCGGUACUGACGCUGAGGAGCGAAAGCGUGGGGAGCGAACAGG